ACUCACAGCUUGGUGUGUAUAUUGUAACAAUGUGUUUCUUUAUUUCAUUGCUCCAGAUGUGUCAUGUUCACUCAUCAUUCACAGAUAUCCGGCCCUUCUUCAUACAGCUUGCCCCCUCCCCACAUUCACUGCUUGCUGUGUCAUAUUCACUCAUCAUUGACUGAUGACCCCUGAACAGAUUUCCGGCCCUUCUUCAUACACCUUGUCUUCCACCUUCACAGUCAUGGCACAACACUCAGGAGUGCUGUGAGUUGCAUGACACCUGCAGAGGCUCCAUACUACAGACUACUACUACUCGGUACUACAGAAACCGGAUCACUUGACAAGCCUGUGUCCUGUUUUGGCCUUCCACACUCUGUAGGAUUGCAUAGGCUCCAUUUCUUCUCCCACAUCACCAUUCCAAAACAACUCCAGAUGUUUCGUUUGUAUUAUGGCCAGUUUCUUUACAUCUGUUACACUACCUGUGUUUUGCACCCAAAACUGGACUGCUCUAUCUGUUUCUUGUUUUUUAUCAUUAUCACUUGCAUUGCUGUAAAUAUGUUCCAUUAGCUCAGUUUUGCAACUAUGAAGUGUACAGUUUUGUUGUUGUAUUACUGUUACGCUGAGCAAAAAGAAACCUCAAACCUUACUCUUAGGCCUAUGUGAAUUCUUCAUGCGUGUCGUGCUCUGUCAACAGUUUGAUGCUUACAAAGCAUUCCAAGUGUCUGUAUGAUGUUCUACCAUUAUGCUAUGCCUUCACACAGUUAAUAACAAAAGGUAUACAGUAUUAAAAAUGCAUAUUCACACUA
Molecule: long non-coding RNA, 788 nt
Organism: Engraulis encrasicolus (European anchovy)
Lineage: Eukaryota; Metazoa; Chordata; Actinopteri; Clupeiformes; Engraulidae
Exons: 3
Source: RefSeq, a predicted model, not a curated record